This 465-nucleotide ribosomal RNA is filed under the name Vreelandella stevensii. Its description in RNAcentral is "partial 16S ribosomal RNA". It matches the Rfam family "Bacterial small subunit ribosomal RNA", at positions 338 to 795 of the family's 1533-position model. The record is from RNAcentral. Lineage: Bacteria; Pseudomonadati; Pseudomonadota; Gammaproteobacteria; Oceanospirillales; Halomonadaceae.
CCUACGGGGGGCAGCAGUGGGGAAUAUUGGACAAUGGGGGGAACCCUGAUCCAGCCAUGCCGCGUGUGUGAAGAAGGCCCUCGGGUUGUAAAGCACUUUCAGUGAGGAAGAACGCCUGGUGGUUAAUACCCAUCAGGAAAGACAUCACUCACAGAAGAAGCACCGGCUAACUCCGUGCCAGCAGCCGCGGUAAUACGGAGGGUGCGAGCGUUAAUCAGAAUUACUGGGCGUAAAGCGCGCGUAGGUGGCUUGAUAAGCCGGUUGUGAAAGCCCCGGGCUCAACCUGGGAACGGCAUCCGGAACUGUCAAGCUAGAGUGCAGGAGAGGAAGGUAGAAUUCCCGGUGUAGCGGUGAAAUGCGUAGAGAUCGGGAGGAAUACCAGUGGCGAAGGCGGCCUUCUGGACUGACACUGACACUGAGGUGCGAAAGCGUGGGUAGCAAACAGGAUUAGAUACCCUAGUAGUC